AUGUAAUGAAAUGCUCUACUUUC
Molecule: non-coding RNA, 23 nt
Filed under: Rattus norvegicus (Norway rat)
Lineage: Eukaryota; Metazoa; Chordata; Mammalia; Rodentia; Muridae
Source: RNAcentral